AACAAACAUGUUGGUGUCACAGAAGCUAGAUUCCGUCACCUAGGAGGUGUUGCGAAACGGACAAAAAAGACAAGCGUAGGACUUUUCCCAGCUUGUGGAGCUCCUCCUUCUAAGGGAAAGCCUCCUUAUAAGAAACACAAUAAAGCCUUGUAGACUCGUUCCUCCAAGACCUCCUGGUUUACAUUAAUUCGUGCUCUUGCUACACGACUUAGCAGCGUUGUAUAUGAACCUAUUCAUUCUAUUCCAGAAAGAAUUUGCCCAUCACUUUUUUCAAAAAAAAAAAGAAUUUUCCCAUCACGAUAUAAUGUAAUUCCAAUCACUAACUAGUAACGAUAUAAGAUAAGGAAAAUUAAUAUAUGAGAGCUUUACACUCUAA
Long non-coding RNA from Raphanus sativus (radish), 376 nucleotides. RefSeq lists it as uncharacterized. The transcript has 2 exons. The record is from RefSeq and is a predicted model, not a curated record. Lineage: Eukaryota; Viridiplantae; Streptophyta; Magnoliopsida; Brassicales; Brassicaceae.